RNAcentral lists this non-coding RNA (46 nucleotides) under Schistosoma margrebowiei. Lineage: Eukaryota; Metazoa; Platyhelminthes; Trematoda; Strigeidida; Schistosomatidae. The record is from RNAcentral.
GUACUGCUGAGGAGUCCCAAACUAGGACGAAACUGUCAUCCAGUAC